Molecule: long non-coding RNA, 166 nt
Organism: Centruroides sculpturatus (bark scorpion)
Lineage: Eukaryota; Metazoa; Arthropoda; Arachnida; Scorpiones; Buthidae
Exons: 3
Source: RefSeq, a predicted model, not a curated record
AAUCAAUUGUAUACAGCUUUAAUAACAACCGUACUCAAGUUGGUUAUGAAUAAGCUGAUGUUACUGGAAAAUAUCGAGAGUAACUGUUACUGAAACGGAAAUAAGCUGUUACUUCAGUCUAUAAGACUUAUAUGCAUGGUUGGCUGAAGAGGGGCUUAAGAGCCCG